This 926-nucleotide long non-coding RNA is filed under the name Nicotiana tabacum (common tobacco). RNAcentral describes it as "long non-coding RNA (NTAB_LNC002188)". The record is from RNAcentral. Lineage: Eukaryota; Viridiplantae; Streptophyta; Magnoliopsida; Solanales; Solanaceae.
UUUAUACUAAGAAGGAAAGAGGCAAAUAUUUCUGUAUAUAAAUAGUGGCACUAAGUUAUUGUGAUCAACGAACUGAGCAUCAACAGAGAUAAACAAAAUAUUCCCAACAAUGGCUAGAGCCAACUCUCUGAAAUUCGCUUCCUACUUCAUUCUUUUACUAAUCGCUGGUAAGUUAUAUAUAAUUUUAUCAUAUAUAGUAUAUAUUUUCUCCUUUUCUCGCACAAGCAUUUUCUUUUUUAAUUUAUUUUUUUUACAUACAAAUUAAAAAGAUAUACUGUAAUAUAUUAUGCUCCUACUUAUACUCACCUUGAUUCGUAUUUUGAAUUGCAGCUCAAUUUACGUUAUUUUCUAAAACACACGUAACUGCUGCUGGAUGUUGGGACCUGUGUGUCUACAGUGAUGAAUGCACUGAUGCAAAAUGUUGGGCGUGCGAUCUCAAUGCUGGUCAGGGUGGUGGUUUCUAUGGGCGCUGUAUAGAUCCAUCCAUUUGGAAUGACGAAAAAAAGAACUAAAUAUUCGUACGUUCAAUAUAAUACCGUGCGAAUGUUUUUCCGAAUUUCAAUAAUCCAACAUACAAUAUAUCAUGUUGGUAUGUGCAUGCGUAUUUUCGUUCUUUAUUUGAAUCUGUGUCAAAGUCCAGCGCUAGCUAUAGCUGCUGGUACAUAAGAUUGUUGUGUUAUACUUUGUACGUCUACCUAUGUCAAAAUUAUUAUCAAUAAUAAAUAAAAAAAAUAAGUCCUAUCGUGCUCUAUAUAAUUGUUUCAAGAAGGCUCUCGGUUGUUAUGUGAGCCCAGCUGCUUGUAUAUAUGAUUCAAUAAUUAGUAGAAGUAGCAUUCAGUCGGUACUCUUUUUUUUUUAUUUAUUUAGAAAUUGUCAUUGUCAUGUAAUUUCAUAUUUCACAAGUAAAACUUCAAGAUAUUAUCCAG